CGGAGGGUGCGAGCGUUAAUCGGAAUUACUGGGCGUAAAGGGUGCGUAGGUGGUUUGUUAAGUUAUCUGUAAAAUCCCUGGGCUUAACCUGGGCAGGUCAGAUAAGACUGAUGAACUCGAGUAUGGGAGAGGGUAGUGGAAUUUCCGGUGUAGCGGUGAAAUGCGUAGAGAUCGGAAGGAACACCAGUGGCGAAGGCGGCUACCUGGCCUAAUACUGACACUGAGGCACGAAAGCGUGGGGAGCAAACAGGAUU
RNAcentral lists this ribosomal RNA (254 nucleotides) under uncultured bacterium. Its description in RNAcentral is "partial 16S ribosomal RNA". It matches the Rfam family "Bacterial small subunit ribosomal RNA", at positions 526 to 779 of the family's 1533-position model. The record is from RNAcentral.